RNAcentral lists this ribosomal RNA (468 nucleotides) under uncultured bacterium. RNAcentral's name for it is "partial 16S ribosomal RNA". It matches the Rfam family "Bacterial small subunit ribosomal RNA", at positions 28 to 507 of the family's 1533-position model. The record is from RNAcentral.
GACGAACGCUGGCGGCGUGCUUAACACAUGCAAGUCGAACGGCAAGGCCCUGCUUUUGUGGGGUGCUCGAGUGGCGAACGGGUGCGUAACACGUGAGUAACCUGCCCUUGACUUUGGGGUAACUUCAGGAAACUGGGGUUAAUCCAGGAUAGGAGCUCACGCUGCAUGGUGGGGGUUGGAAAGUUUCGGCGGUGGGGGAUGGACGCGCGGAUUAUCAGCUUGGUGGUGGGGUAGUGGCUUACCCAGGCUUUGACGGGUAGCCGGCCUGAGAGGCUGACCGGCCACAUUGGUACUGAGGUACGGCCCAGAGUCCAACAGGGGGCAGCAGUGGGGAGUAUGGCACAAUGGGCGGAAGCCGGAGGCAGCAACGCCGCGGGCGUGAUGACGUCCUGCGGGGUGUAAACCGCUUUCGCCUGAGACGAAGCGGGAGUGACGGUAAUGGGUAAAGAAGCACCGGCUAACUACGUG